UUGCAAAGCCAUGCGAGUCAUUGUAGUAAUACAAGGCAGACGGCUCAAGUAACACGUAGUCACACUAACCUAUUGACGGGGAUAACCUCGGGAAACUGAGAAUAAUACCCGAUAGGCCAUUAUGCCUGGAAUGGUUUAUGGCUGAAAUUUUUUAUCGCAAUAGGAUGGGACUGCGGCCUAUCAGUUUGUUGGUGAGGUAAUGGCCCACCAGCUAUAUAACAGGUACGGGCUCUGAGAGGAGAAGCCCGGAGAUGGGUACUGAGACACGGACCCAGGCCCUAUGGGGCGCAGCAGGCGAGAAAACUUAGCAAUGUGCGAAAGCACGACAAGGUUAAUCCGAGUGUUUCCUGCUAAAGGAAUCUUUUGUCAGUCCUAAAAACACUGAUGAAUAAGGGGUGGGCUAGUUCUGGUGUCAGCCGCCGCGGUAAAACCAGCACCUCAAGUGGUCAGGAGGAUUAUUGGGCCUAAAGCAUCCGUAGCCGGCUGCAUAAGUCUUCGGUUAAAUUCAUAUGCUCAACAUAUGGGCUGCCGGAGAUACUGUGCAGCUAGGGAGUGGGAGAGGUGGACGGUACUCGAUAGGAAGGGGUAAAAUCCUUUGAUCUAUUGAUGACCACCUGUGGCGAAGGCGGUCCACCGGAACACGUCCGAAGUUGAGGGAUGUUUGCUGGGGGAGCUUACCGGAUUAGAUACCCGGGUAGUCCCAGCUGUAAACAAUGCAAGUUCAGUGAUGCAUUGGCUUGCUGCCAGUGCAGUGCCGCAGGGAAGCCGUUAAGUUUGCCGCCUGGGAAGUACGUACGCAAGUAUGAAACUUAAAGGAAUUGGCGGGGGAGCACCACAAGGGGUGAAGCCUGCGGCUAG
This 858-nucleotide ribosomal RNA is filed under the name uncultured archaeon. RNAcentral's name for it is "bacterial SSU rRNA". It matches the Rfam family "Archaeal small subunit ribosomal RNA", at positions 41 to 904 of the family's 1478-position model. The record is from RNAcentral.